This 253-nucleotide ribosomal RNA is filed under the name uncultured bacterium. RNAcentral's name for it is "partial 16S ribosomal RNA". It matches the Rfam family "Bacterial small subunit ribosomal RNA", at positions 524 to 776 of the family's 1533-position model. The record is from RNAcentral.
UACGUAGGGGGCAAGCGUUGUCCGGAUUUAUUGGGCGUAAAGAGCGUGUAGGCGGCCAGACAGGUCCGUUGUGAAAACUCGAGGCUCAACCUCGAAAUGUCGAUGGAAACCGUCUGGCUAGAGUCCGGAAGAGGAGUGUGGAAUUCCUGGUGUAGCGGUGAAAUGCGCAGAUAUCAGGAAGAACACCUAUGGCGAAGGCAGCACUCUGGGACGGUACUGACGCUGAGACGCGAAAGCGUGGGGAGCGAACAGG